GCCGGGGUGGCGGAAUUGGCAGACGCACAGGACUUAAAAUCCUGGGCCCCGCAAGGGGCGUACGGGUUCGAUUCCCGUCCUCGGCACCA
RNAcentral lists this transfer RNA (89 nucleotides) under Acidobacteriota bacterium. RNAcentral's name for it is "Acidobacteria bacterium (hot springs metagenome) tRNA-Leu". It matches the Rfam family "tRNA". Rfam says of the family: Transfer RNA (tRNA) molecules are approximately 80 nucleotides in length. The record is from RNAcentral. Lineage: Bacteria; Pseudomonadati; Acidobacteriota.